AGGGUGCAAGCGUUAUCCGGAUUUACUGGGUUUAAAGGGGGAGUAGGCGGGCCUUUAAGUCAGUGGUGAAAGCUCCGAGCUUAACUCGGAAACUGCCAUUGAUACUAUUGGUCUUGAAUUCGGUCGAGGUUGGCGGAAUGUGUCGUGUAGCGGUGAAAUGCUUAGAUAUGACACAGAACACCGAUUGCGAAGGCAGCUAGCUAGACCGACAUUGACGCUGAGGCACGAAAGCGUGGGGAUCAAACAGG
This 248-nucleotide ribosomal RNA is filed under the name uncultured bacterium. Its description in RNAcentral is "partial 16S ribosomal RNA". It matches the Rfam family "Bacterial small subunit ribosomal RNA", at positions 529 to 776 of the family's 1533-position model. The record is from RNAcentral.